AGAGUUUGAUCCUGGCUCAGAACGAACGCUGGCGGCAUGCCUAACACAUGCAAGUCGAACGCGUGACUUCGGUCACGAGUGGCGCACGGGUGAGUAGCGCGUGGGAACCUGCCCUUGGGUACGGAAUAACCGCGGGAAACUGCGGCUAAUACCGUAUACGCCCUUAGGGGGAAAGAUUUAUCGCCCAAGGAGGGGCCCGC
Molecule: ribosomal RNA, 200 nt
Filed under: uncultured bacterium
Lineage: Bacteria
Description: partial 16S ribosomal RNA
Rfam family: Bacterial small subunit ribosomal RNA
Source: RNAcentral